GCGGUAAUACAGAGGGUGCGAGCGUUAAUCGGAUUUACUGGGCGUAAAGCGUGCGUAGGCGGCUUUUUAAGUCGGAUGUGAAAUCCCUGAGCUUAACUUAGGAAUUGCAUUCGAUACUGGAAAGCUAGAGUAUGGGAGAGGAUGGUAGAAUUCCAGGUGUAGCGGUGAAAUGCGUAGAGAUCUGGAGGAAUACCGAUGGCGAAGGCAGCCAUCUGGCCUAAUACUGACGCUGAGGUACGAAAGCAUGGGGAGCAAACAGGAUUAGAUACCCUGGUAGUCCAUGCCGUAAACGAUGUCUACUAGCCGUUGGGGCCUUUGAGGCUUUAGUGGCGCAGCUAACGCGAUAAGUAGACCGCCUGGGGAGUACGGUCGCAAGACUAAAACUCAAAUGAAUUGACGGGGGCCCGCACAAGCGGUGGAGCAUGUGGUUUAAUUCGAUGCAACGCGAAGAACCUUACCUGGCCUUGACAUACUAAGAACUUUCCAGAGAUGGAUUGGUGCCUUCGGGAACUUAGAUACAGGUGCUGCAUGGCUGUCGUCAGCUCGUGUCGUGAGAUGUUGGGUUAAGUCCCGCAACGAGCGCAACCCUUUUCCUUAUUUGCCAGCGGGUAAUGCCGGGAACUUUAAGGAUACUGCCAGUGACAAACUGGAGGAAGGCGGGGACGACGUCAAGUCAUCAUGGCCCUUACGGCCAGGGCUACACACGUGCUACAAUGGUCGGUACAAAGGGUUGCUACCUCGCGAGAGGAUGCUAAUCUCAAAAAGCCGAUCGUAGUCCGGAUCGCAGUCUGCAACUCGACUGCGUGAAGUCGGAAUCGCUAGUAAUCGCGGAUCAGAAUGCCGCGGUGAAUACGUUCCCGGGCCUUGUACACACCGCCCGUCACACCAUGGGAGUUUGUUGCACCAGAAGUAGGUAGUCUAACCGCAAGGAGGACGCUAC
RNAcentral lists this ribosomal RNA (940 nucleotides) under Acinetobacter sp. WLSH-27. Its description in RNAcentral is "bacterial SSU rRNA". It matches the Rfam family "Bacterial small subunit ribosomal RNA", at positions 517 to 1457 of the family's 1533-position model. Lineage: Bacteria; Pseudomonadati; Pseudomonadota; Gammaproteobacteria; Moraxellales; Moraxellaceae. The record is from RNAcentral.